This 497-nucleotide ribosomal RNA is filed under the name uncultured bacterium. RNAcentral's name for it is "partial 16S ribosomal RNA". It matches the Rfam family "Bacterial small subunit ribosomal RNA", at positions 28 to 507 of the family's 1533-position model. The record is from RNAcentral.
GAUGAACGCUGGCGGCGUGCCUAAUACAUGCAAGUCGAGCGAACAGAUAAGGAGCUUGCUCCUUUGACGUUAGCGGCGGACGGGUGAGUAACACGUGGGUAACCUACCUAUAAGACUGGGAUAACUUCGGGAAACCGGAGCUAAUACCGGAUAACAUUUGGAACCGCAUGGUUCUAAAGUGAAAGAUGGUUUUGCUAUCACUUAUAGAUGGACCCGCGCCGUAUUAGCUAGUUGGUAAGGUAGCGGCUUACCAAGGCGACGAUACGUAGCCGACCUGAGAGGGUGAUCAGCCACACUGGAACUGAGACACGGUCCAGACUCCUACGGGAGGCAGCAGUAGGGAAUCUUCCGCAAUGGGCGAAAGCCUGACGGGGCAACGCCGCGUGAGUGAUGAAGGGUUUCGGCUCGUAAAACUCUGUUAUUAGGGAAGAACAAACGUGUAAGUAACUGUGCACGUCUUGACGGUACCUAAUCAGAAAGCCACGGCUAACUACGUG